GCCCUUGUCGCCGCCAGAGUCAUGGCUCUGUUGAUUACUUCUGGGAAGUGUUGGAAACAGGGCCUUAAAAAAAGAAUGGCGUCCAUUUACAUAAUGCUUUGUUUGCAUUUUGCAAGUUUCUUUCGGUUGAACCUACAGAAACCCCACCUUCUAGUGUCGUUUUAGUCGUGGCAGUCCCGUCAGACAUUUAGAACAAUGGUGUACCCUUUUGGGGCCGCAUUUAGUUAGGGUUGCCGACUAGUGCUUUGGGGAGUUAUUGCGAUUUCCCCCACACCCUUCAUUUUCCCGCUUCUGUCUUUCGGCGUUUCCCCCAUUUCCCCUUAAUGGUGCAGCCGCCUCUCCCCGCUCCCCUUGGGGGCGGCCCCUGUCGGGCUCCGCCAUCUUGGAAGGCCUUUCUUGCCGGUUCGUCACCGCGCGUUCCUCUCGCCAAAGAAAGGUCGUUUGGGAGGCUCGUACAGUGCACUUAGGCCCAGAGAGAUGAAGUGACUAAUUCAAGGUCACACAGUGUGGAGGAUGGAUUCCAGACCUUCUGAUUUCCUUAAUGGCUCCACAUCCAACCUGGGGCUUGAACUUAACAACUCUGAAAUCAAGAGUUGCUUGCCACUGACUGAGCCAGCCAGGCACCCCAUUCAGAGCUCUUGUUUCUUAACCGUGACGUUGUACUGCAUUGUGCAUGGAUUGAGGGUGAUGGUGAGAGCCUGGACAAAAACUGCAUUUUGUCUAGCUUAAGAUGAAAAGUGGUCUUGUCACUGUAAUACAGUAGUUGAGAAUGUGACCCUGAUAUGAUGUGAUAUGGUAUAUAAUUCUAGAGCCAACCUGCUGAACUUGGACAUAACUGCUUACUGUGUGACCUCGGGUAGACUUCAAAAUCAGUGUGCCAAGUCCUCCUCCCUUGGACUGCACAGUGGAGCUGGAAACAUGAGUGAUCCCAGUGGAGUCCUUUGUAGACAUAAGCACCAACCAUACCAGGAGCUGGAUUUGAUCGGGCUGGACUUCUUGAUGCAGAAAUCACAUGGCCCUUUAAAAAGGAAGAAACCCCUCACUGCCACUGACUUCCACUUGGGGGCAUUUCCCGGUCUCUGACCCAAAGACAGUCCUGUGGACCUUCAGAGUUCUCAUGUCUCUGCUGCUAGCCAUAUGCUCCCCACUGUAGCCCACUGUAGCCAAGCUAUCCUAUACUGGGGAUUUCCUGUCCAUCCUGCAGGGGACUCUGCCUCCAGGUAGUGCCGUCUCCAAGCCUGGUCUCCUCUAAGGAUUUCUGUGGGUUAGCUCUGGGGAACUUUUCUUAAUCUGUUCUUAAAUGUGUUAUUCCAGAAAGAAGUCUUCAUAAUUGCCAGCAUUGUGAUGGCUUUUUCCUAGUUUCUUCUGUGCAUGCCUGUUUUUACCUAUUUCA
Molecule: long non-coding RNA, 1393 nt
Organism: Suricata suricatta (meerkat)
Lineage: Eukaryota; Metazoa; Chordata; Mammalia; Carnivora; Herpestidae
Exons: 5
Source: RefSeq, a predicted model, not a curated record